This 371-nucleotide unclassified non-coding RNA is filed under the name uncultured fungus. RNAcentral describes it as "sequence contains ITS1". The stretch from base 1 to 107 matches the Rfam family "5.8S ribosomal RNA", at positions 50 to 154 of the family's 154-position model. Lineage: Eukaryota; Fungi. The record is from RNAcentral.
AAAAUGCGAUACUUGGUGUGAAUUGCAGAAUCCCGUGAACCAUCGAGUUUUUGAACGCAAGUUGCGCCCAAAGCCAUCCGGUUGAGGGCACGCCUGCCUGGGCGUCUCGCAUCGCGUCGCUCCCCCAUGUAUAUCAGAUUUGGGAUGCAUGGUGUCGGGGCGGAGAUUGGUCUCCCGUGCAACUGUUGCGGUUGUCCCAAACAUGAGUCACCUUCGGUUGACGCACGGCUAGUGGUGGUUGAAUAGGCCCUCGUCCUUUGUCGUGCGUCGUUUUCUGCAAGGAAAGCUCUUGUAUAAGACCCUAAUGCGUUGUCCUGUGAUGACGUUUCGACCGCGACCCCAGGUCAGGCGGGACUACCCGCUGAGUUUAA